AGCGAACGCUGGCGGCAGGCCUAACACAUGCAAGUCGAACGAACCUUUCGGGGUUAGUGGCGGACGGGUGAGUAACACGUGGGAACGUGCCUUUAGGUUCGGAAUAACUCAGGGAAACUUGUGCUAAUACCGAAUGUGCCCUUCGGGGGAAAGAUUUAUCGCCUUUAGAGCGGCCCGCGUCUGAUUAGCUAGUUGGUUGAGGUAAUGGCUCACCAAGGCGACGCUCAGUAGCUGGUCUGAGAGGAUGAUCAGCCACAUUGGGACUGAGACACGGCCCAAACUCCUACGGGAGGCAGCAGUGGGGAAUCUUGCGCAAUGGGCGAAAGCCUGACGCAGCCAUGCCGCGUGAAUGAUGAAGGUCUUAGGAUUGUAAAAUUCUUUAACCGGGGACGAUAAUGACGGUACCCGGAGAAGAAGCCCCGGCUAACUUCGUG
This 434-nucleotide ribosomal RNA is filed under the name uncultured bacterium. RNAcentral describes it as "partial 16S ribosomal RNA". It matches the Rfam family "Bacterial small subunit ribosomal RNA", at positions 29 to 507 of the family's 1533-position model. The record is from RNAcentral.